UAGCACCACACCGCUACCCUAGUCUGGC
This 28-nucleotide non-coding RNA is filed under the name Mus musculus (house mouse). Lineage: Eukaryota; Metazoa; Chordata; Mammalia; Rodentia; Muridae. The record is from RNAcentral.